AGCGAACGCUGGCGGCAGGCCUAACACAUGCAAGUCGAACGGAUCCUUCGGGAUUAGUGGCGGACGGGUGAGUAACACGUGGGAACGUGCCCUUUGGUUCGGAACAACUCAGGGAAACUUGAGCUAAUACCGGAUGUGCCCUUCGGGGGAAAGAUUUAUCGCCAUUGGAGCGGCCCGCGUCUGAUUAGCUAGUUGGUGAGGUAAAGGCUCACCAAGGCGACGAUCAGUAGCUGGUCUGAGAGGAUGAUCAGCCACAUUGGGACUGAGACACGGCCCAAACUCCUACGGGAGGCAGCAGUGGGGAAUCUUGCGCAAUGGGCGAAGGCCUGACGCAGCCAUGCCGCGUGAAUGAUGAAGGUCUUAGGAUUGUAAAAUUCUUUCACCGGGGACGAUAAUGACGGUACCCGGAGAAGAAGCCCCGGCUAACUUCGUGCCAGCAGCCGCGGUAAUACGAAGGGGGCUAGCGUUGCUCGGAAUUAUUGGGCGUAAAGGGUUCGUAGGUGGGGAUACAAGUUAGGUGUGAAAACCCUGGGCUCAACCCGGGACGUGCACCUAAGACUGUAACUCUUGAGGUGUAGAGAGGGUGACGGAAUUGCUGGUGUAGGAGUGACAUCCGUAGAGAUCAGCAGGAACGCCGGAGGCGAAAGCGGUCACCUGGCUACAAACUGACACUGAGGAACGAAAGCGUGGGGAGCAAACAGGAUUAGAUACCCUGGUAGUCCACGCCGUAAACGAUGAUAACUAGAUGUUGGGAGAAUUUGACCUUUCAGUAUCGAAGCACACGCGAUAAGUUAUCCGCCUGGGGAGUACGGCCGCAAGGCUAAAACUCAAAGGAAUUGACGGGGACCCGCACAAGCGGUGGAGUAUGUGGUUUAAUUCGACGCAACGCGAAGAACCUUACCUGGGCUUGACAUCCUCUGAAUACGGUAGAGACAUCGUAGGCCCGCAAGGGACAGAGAGACAGGUGCUGCAUGGCUGUCGUCAGCUCGUGUCGUGGGAUGUUGGGUUAAGUCCCGCAACGAGCGCAACCCUUGUCCUUAGUUGCCAUCAUUAAGUUGGGUACUUUAAGGAGACUGCCGGUGACAAACCGGAGGAAGGUGGGGAUGACGUCAAGUCCUCAUGGCCCUUACGUCCAGGGCUACACACGUACUACAAUGGCCAAGACAAAGCGAAGCAAAGCAGCGAUGUGGAGCAAAUCGCAAAAACAUGGUCUCAGUUCGGAUUGUGGUCUGCAACUCGACCACAUGAAGUUGGAAUCGCUAGUAAUCGCGGAUCAGCAAGCCGCGGUGAAUACGUUCCCGGGUCUUGUACACACCGCCCGUCAAACCACGAAAGUUGUUUGGACCAGAAGCUGGUGGGCUAACCGCAAGGGGGUAGCCAGCCAAGGUUUAAGCGAUGAUUGGGGU
RNAcentral lists this ribosomal RNA (1406 nucleotides) under uncultured bacterium. RNAcentral's name for it is "16S ribosomal RNA". It matches the Rfam family "Bacterial small subunit ribosomal RNA". The record is from RNAcentral.